RNAcentral lists this ribosomal RNA (482 nucleotides) under Callosobruchus maculatus (cowpea weevil). RNAcentral's name for it is "partial large subunit ribosomal RNA". Lineage: Eukaryota; Metazoa; Arthropoda; Insecta; Coleoptera; Chrysomelidae. The record is from RNAcentral.
GUACGUGAAACCGUUCAGGGGUAAACCUGAGAAACCCGAAAGGUCGAAAGGGGAAAUUCAUUCGCGUCUCGGAUAUCGGCGAUGAGCAGCCGCGUGACGGAUGGCGUUCGCGUUGUCCGCGCCUUCUGUUUUUCGAACCGGUGACGAACGCGUGCACUUUUCCCCUAGUAGGACGUCGCGAUCCGUUGGGUGUCGGUCUACGGCUCGCGGUGGAGUCCGUGUGCGAUCGUUUCGGCGAUUCGUGCUCGAACCCGCGAUGUUCCGGCCGACUCGCUCGACGGUAUACAGAUGGCGCGAGGCCGCUACGUUAAUUAGCGUCCGACCCACGGCAAGCGCGUUCGAUGCUAAGACGGCGAUCGGACCUAGUGCCGAUUCCGUUUCCGGACGACUGUUGGCCGUGUGGAUCUCUCGGACAGACCUCGUUCGAAACGCUGAUCUGCGACGCUAUAGCUUUGGGUACUUUCAGGACCCGUCUUGAAACA